ACGCUCGACACCUACGGAGGCAGCAGUGGGGAAUAUUGCACAAUGGGGGAAACCCUGAUGCAGCGACGCCGCGUGAGCGAAGAAGUAUUUCGGUAUGUAAAGCUCUAUCAGCAGGGAAGAAACUGACGGUACCUGACUAAGAAGCACCGGCUAAAUACGUGCCAANAGCCGCGGUAAUCUGAGCGGGCGUGGCGAAGGCG
This 200-nucleotide ribosomal RNA is filed under the name uncultured bacterium. RNAcentral's name for it is "partial 16S ribosomal RNA". It matches the Rfam family "Bacterial small subunit ribosomal RNA", at positions 328 to 538 of the family's 1533-position model. The record is from RNAcentral.